This 319-nucleotide ribosomal RNA is filed under the name uncultured Pseudomonas sp. RNAcentral describes it as "bacterial SSU rRNA". It matches the Rfam family "Bacterial small subunit ribosomal RNA", at positions 1064 to 1382 of the family's 1533-position model. The record is from RNAcentral. Lineage: Bacteria; Pseudomonadati; Pseudomonadota; Gammaproteobacteria; Pseudomonadales; Pseudomonadaceae.
GUCGUGAGAUGUUGGGUUAAGUCCCGUAACGAGCGCAACCCUUGUCCUUAGUUACCAGCACGUUAUGGUGGGCACUCUAAGGAGACUGCCGGUGACAAACCGGAGGAAGGUGGGGAUGACGUCAAGUCAUCAUGGCCCUUACGGCCUGGGCUACACACGUGCUACAAUGGUCGGUACAAAGGGUUGCCAAGCCGCGAGGUGGAGCUAAUCCCAUAAAACCGAUCGUAGUCCGGAUCGCAGUCUGCAACUCGACUGCGUGAAGUCGGAAUCGCUAGUAAUCGUGAAUCAGAAUGUCACGGUGAAUACGUUCCCGGGCCUU